This 752-nucleotide ribosomal RNA is filed under the name Bacillus sp. (in: firmicutes). Its description in RNAcentral is "bacterial SSU rRNA". It matches the Rfam family "Bacterial small subunit ribosomal RNA", at positions 57 to 797 of the family's 1533-position model. Lineage: Bacteria; Bacillati; Bacillota; Bacilli; Caryophanales; Bacillaceae. The record is from RNAcentral.
GCAGUCGAGCGAAUCGAUGGGAGCUUGCUCCCUGAGAUUAGCGGCGGACGGGUGAGUAACACGUGGGCAACCUGCCUAUAAGACUGGGAUAACUUCGGGAAACCGGAGCUAAUACCGGAUACGUUCUUUUCUCGCAUGAGAGAAGAUGGAAAGACGGUUUACGCUGUCACUUAUAGAUGGGCCCGCGGCGCAUUAGCUAGUUGGUGAGGUAAUGGCUCACCAAGGCGACGAUGCGUAGCCGACCUGAGAGGGUGAUCGGCCACACUGGGACUGAAACACGGCCCAGACUCCUACGGGAGGCAGCAGUAGGGAAUCUUCCGCAAUGGACGAAAGUCUGACGGAGCAACGCCGCGUGAACGAAGAAGGCCUUCGGGUCGUAAAGUUCUGUUGUUAGGGAAGAACAAGUACCAGAGUAACUGCUGGUACCUUGACGGUACCUAACCAGAAAGCCACGGCUAACUACGUGCCAGCAGCCGCGGUAAUACGUAGGUGGCAAGCGUUGUCCGGAAUUAUUGGGCGUAAAGCGCGCGCAGGUGGUUCCUUAAGUCUGAUGUGAAAGCCCACGGCUCAACCGUGGAGGGUCAUUGGAAACUGGGGAACUUGAGUGCAGAAGAGGAAAGUGGAAUUCCAAGUGUAGCGGUGAAAUGCGUAGAGAUUUGGAGGAACACCAGUGGCGAAGCGACUUUCUGGUCUGUAACUGACACUGAGCGCGAAAGCGUGGGGAGCAAACAGAUUAGAUACCCUGUAGUCCA